RNAcentral lists this ribosomal RNA (468 nucleotides) under uncultured bacterium. RNAcentral's name for it is "partial 16S ribosomal RNA". It matches the Rfam family "Bacterial small subunit ribosomal RNA", at positions 28 to 507 of the family's 1533-position model. The record is from RNAcentral.
GACGAACGCUGGCGGCGUGCUUAACACAUGCAAGUCGAACGGAAAGGCCCUGCUUUUGUGGGGUGCUCGAGUGGCGAACGGGUGAGUAACACGUGAGUAACCUGCCCUUGACUUUGGGAUAACUUCAGGAAACUGGGGCUAAUACCGGAUAGGAGCUCCUGCUGCAUGGUUGGGGUUGGAAAGUUUCGGCGGUUGGGGAUGGACUCGCGGCUUAUCAGCUUGUUGGUGGGGUAGUGGCUUACCAAGGCUUUGACGGGUAGCCGGCCUGAGAGGGUGACCGGCCACAUUGGGACUGAGAUACGGCCCAGACUCCUACGGGAGGCAGCAGUGGGGAAUAUUGCACAAUGGGCGGAAGCCUGAUGCAGCAACGCCGCGUGCGGGAUGACGGCCUUCGGGUUGUAAACCGCUUUCGCCUGUGACGAAGCGUGAGUGGCGGUAAUGGGUAAAGAAGCACCGGCUAACUACGUG